RNAcentral lists this ribosomal RNA (330 nucleotides) under Trichadenotecnum sclerotum. RNAcentral describes it as "partial 12S rRNA". Lineage: Eukaryota; Metazoa; Arthropoda; Insecta; Psocodea; Psocidae. The record is from RNAcentral.
GAGUAGUAAAUGUUUUGGACAGGAAACUUAAAGAAUUUGGCGGUAUAUAUUCUAUUUAGAGGAAUAUGUCUUUUAAUUGAUAAUCCACAUGUAUUUUACUUAAAUUUAUUUAUUUUGUAUAUCUCCGUCUUAAAAAAAUUUUCUAAAAUAUUUUUUAGUUUUUAAAAUUUAAAAUAAGUCAGGUCAAGGUGCAGAUUAUAUUUAAGUUAAGAUGUAUUACAAUAAAUUUAUUUUUGAAUUAAAAUUAAAAUAGUUUUAGGAAAAUGGAUUUAUAAGUAAAUUUUUUUAUAUAAUAAUUUAUUGAAUUGUGUUAAUAUAUAUGCACACAUC